UAAUCGAAGUUGCUGGCUGCUCAACUGGUUCUGAAAAUCCUAGCUAAUAAAUAGAGCAAAAGAAGGAUUGAAGAAGAAAGGCAACAUGAGUUGCUGGCUGCUCAACUGUUGGGCAUGGCCUCUGUACAAAUACCUGCAUUUACCGUAACUGACGGCUGUAAGUAAAUUGCCUUGAAAAAAUCAUCUUCUGGCAGUCAAAACUAAAAUGAUGACACUACCAUAGAAUGCCAUUUAUGCUGCCCUUCUAAGUUUGUCUAGUUCAGCCAAGACAUUCUUGAGGGAAACUCUCAGCUUGCUCUGUUUAGUCUGCAGUUUUUCGCAGCAUAAGUUAAACUAACAGCAGUAGUCAUAUGACUCAUAUCUUAGAUCUGUUGUUACGUGUCUCAGAUCUUUGUGUAUAAAUCAACAUAAACCAUCUUCAUCAUCGAAGGAAACUGUUGUUACGUGUCUCAGGAUCUGCUUUGAAUGGGUCAGAGACUUCAGCUGAUUGUUAGGAGAUUAGUUUUCUUUUAGUCCUAUUAAGUUUCGCUAGUUUUCUCCACUGAUUAUUUCUCCUCUAAGUUGCAAACAAGAAUGGAUACCUCCCUGGUAAGUGCUCCAACACGGGUAGUGACUCCAGAACUAAUUGAGAUAAGGGACAUAUACCCUCCCCGGAAAUUGAUCUGGAAAACUCGUGACAGAUCAAGAAAAAGAUUACCCGUGACGAGGUCGUUGUAGGAAAGCUGGUGAUUCCAUUUUUUGAGACGUUUGAGUACAUUUUUCUAUACUGGACGUUGGACAUGGCCAAAAGUUUGGAGGACGGGUGCGAUGUGCCUGUUGACGUGUGGGAUGUAACUGAGGAGAAUGUCCCUAAGAAGUAUCGGGAUAUGUUGAUCUAUAAGUUGAAACAGAGGUAACACAUUCAACAGUGAUACAAGGCCAGAUUCUUUCGCUGGUUUGUUAGGAAAAAGGCAACCGAGGUCAUGUUUUGUGCACUGAAAGUAUUGACAGCAAAAAGUAUCAGGAUAUGGUGAUCUUUAACACUCGUAACUCGCCAUGUCAAGCCUUAUAUUAUAGCUUGGAAAGAGCUUCUUUGCACCAUCAAUGUGUAUAACUUAGAACAAUAUUCAAUAUCAUCUGACCUUACUGACACAAAAUGUCCUAUCCUGUAUCAAUUGUUAGGUAUGUGAGGGAAAAGAAACAUACGUUUUGCCCUGAAUGGAUAGCUCGAUGGUCAAGAGGUCAAAAUUCCAAAACAAGGGUGGGGAUACAUCUUCUAGUUCCUGCUGCCUCCUGAUUUUAAGCUACUGAAGAGAUAUACUCCGAGACUCAUAUAGUCAAGCAGUGUCAUUUGAUGGAUAUGGAAAAUAUACUCCACGAUGAUAUCAUGAAUUUUUGGAACAUUCUCUAACUUUGUCCUCUGUUCAAAUGAAAAGUACAUGAACAAUAUCGGAUCCAUUCUACUAGUAAACAACACAAGUGUCCGUCAUUACUAAAAAUCACUUCCAGAGUUCUUUCGUUGUUGAUUUAGAUAUGAAAUACAUUCUUCUUUGGCAACAUUAUAUCUAAGCCAAGUCGGAAGUCUAAAAGGAAAAUACUUUACAGGCCUAACAUGAUCCCAUUUCACGCACAAACUCACUAGUAGAAGGUUUGAGGCAAAAGGUGAAUAGAUAUUGAUUCAUUCACACUACAAUUUGUAGCAGGAGAGAUGUUGCAAGAUCACUAGCAACUUAGAACGCUACCUAUGGUAUAAAACAUCAAUAUUCAAUUGAACAUGAAAAACAACACUUCUUUGAGAUGAUAGUGGAGCAAACCUCCGAUGAAGACACCAAGCUCCUUACAGAGAUAUAUAUAACACCUUAGAAAAUCUCACAGUGAUAAUAUAUAUGAGAAAAGUAAGGUAUAUAAGGAAGCAAAGUUAUCCCUGUUGACGUGUUUUAAAGUAGUACAAGCCUAAACAUAAAGUUGACAAUAUUAUUAUUAUUAUCAUUAAUCGGUUGGGUUGUUAGUUGUUACACAUUAUAUAUUCAAGUUUGAAAUUCAGGUGUGACAUUUAUCCAUCAAAAUUAUCAUCAAUCAGUAAAUUGAUACCUUUAUUAAAUAAAAUAACUGAGAAAAUUGGACAGAGAUGUAUUAACUAAGACAACUGAUUUUGUAACAAUAUGAGAACCCACUAAAUAUUUCAAUAAUCUACUGAAAGCUUUUGCAAUAGCACAACUGCGGAAGUAUAAUUGAAGUAUCACGAGACUCACUAAAUAAUUGACUGAGAACUC
RNAcentral lists this long non-coding RNA (2252 nucleotides) under Solanum tuberosum (potato). RNAcentral's name for it is "long non-coding RNA (STUB_LNC005929)". The record is from RNAcentral. Lineage: Eukaryota; Viridiplantae; Streptophyta; Magnoliopsida; Solanales; Solanaceae.